Molecule: long non-coding RNA, 1154 nt
Organism: Amphiprion ocellaris (clown anemonefish)
Lineage: Eukaryota; Metazoa; Chordata; Actinopteri; Pomacentridae
Source: Ensembl
AAAGAACAUCAGAAUGUUAUAACAUAACAUCAGGACAAUUGAACACCAGAACGUUAGAAUACUAGAAUGUUUGAACGUAACAUCAGAACGCUAGAGCACUGGAACGAUGUAACAUAAAAAAAUCAGGACAUCAGAACGGUAAAACAUUAUAACAUUGGGAUGUCAGAACAUCGUAACUCCAGAACAGUACAUUAGAACAUUAGAACAAUAGAAUGUUAUAACAAUAGAACAUCAGAACAUUAGAAUGUUGGAACAUUUGAACAUUAAAACAUUAGAAUACAAGAAUGUUAGAACAUUGGAAUGCUAGAACAUUAGUUUAUUUUAACUCUAGAACAUUAGAAGAUCACAGUGUUGGAGCAUUAGAACGUCAGCAUUAGAACAAUAGAAUAUUAAAACAAUAGAAUGCCAGAACAUUAUAACACUGGAACAUUAGAACAUCAGGCCAUUAGAACAGUAGAACAUUAGAUUGUUAGAACUGUAGUAAAGUACAACAAUAGAACAUCAGGACUUUAUAACGUUAGAACAGUAGAAAAAUACAACAUCAGAACAUCAUCACAUCAGGACAUUAGAUAAUUAAAACAGAACAUUAAAAUGUUAGAACAUCAGAAUAUUAGAACAUUAAAAUAUCAGGAUGAUAGGACAUUAGAACAUCAGAAUAUUAGAACAUUAGAAUGUCAGAACACUAGAACGUCAGAACAUUAUAACAUUAGAAUGUUAGAACAUGAGCCUCUAAAGUUGGUGAAAUGUGGACCAAAGGCUGUAUUUUAGUCGAGCUGUGGAUCCAUCCGUAAAUAAACACUUAGAGGAACUUUAUGGAACCAAUAAUUAAGUUCUGUUCUCUGCUGGAUCCAUCUAAUGGUUCUGAUGGAACCAUUCUGUCUGUUCUCUCCACAUCUCAUGACUGCUGGUUUUGUUCCUGGAGAUCCUGAACCUUUUUAUUUUCCAGAACUUACCUUUGGUUCUAGAUAACAGAUAAAAUGGGACCAGAACCUGAGUUCUGACCCAAAAGGUUCUAAACAGCUUUUAAAGGAUUUAUGUUCUCUGCAGAUUCACAGAAUCACAAGAACCCUAAGAUCUCAGCGUCAGCUUCAGUUUGUUCUCAGCUGUCUUUUAAAACUGCUAAAUGAAGAGUCUGAAGAACCAUAACAACCAGC